This 72-nucleotide transfer RNA is filed under the name Phrynosoma platyrhinos (Desert horned lizard). RNAcentral's name for it is "tRNA-OTHER". Lineage: Eukaryota; Metazoa; Chordata; Lepidosauria; Squamata; Phrynosomatidae. The record is from RNAcentral.
GGCAGUGUGGUGUAGUGGUUUGGGUGUUGGACUAUGACUCUGGACACCAGGGUUUGAAUCCUGGCUCGGCCA